GUGCAGCAGGCGAGAAAACUCCGCAAUGCUCGAAAGAGUGACGGGGGAUUCCAAGUGCCUACGCUUAGCGUAGGCUGUUCAGAUGCCUAAAAAGCAUCUGGAGUAAGGGCUGGGUAAGACGGGUGCCAUCUGCAGUGGUAAUGAAAAACUUGCUACUGCAAGGCAUAAGCCGCCGCGGUAAUACCCGCAGCCCGAGUGGUAGUCGCUUUUAUUGGGCCUAAAGCGUCCGUAGCCGGUCUGGUAAAUGCCUGGGGUAAAUCGUGGGGCCUAACCUCACGAACUCCGGGUAGACUGCCAGACUUGGGACCGGUUGAGGGAGAGGGUACUCCGAGGGGUAGGGUGAAAUCCGUGUAAUCCGUUGGAGGACCACCGGGUGGCGAAAGCGACUCUCCUAGGACGGUCGACGGUGAGGGACGAAAGCCAGGGAGCAAACCGGAUUA
RNAcentral lists this ribosomal RNA (440 nucleotides) under uncultured microorganism. Its description in RNAcentral is "bacterial SSU rRNA". It matches the Rfam family "Archaeal small subunit ribosomal RNA", at positions 330 to 731 of the family's 1478-position model. The record is from RNAcentral.